This 739-nucleotide ribosomal RNA is filed under the name unidentified archaeon. Its description in RNAcentral is "bacterial SSU rRNA". It matches the Rfam family "Archaeal small subunit ribosomal RNA", at positions 123 to 846 of the family's 1478-position model. The record is from RNAcentral.
AGAAUACCCCCGGGAAACUGGGGCUAAUUCUCGAUAGGUGAAGAACUCUGGAAUGAGUCUUUGCCUAAAAGAGCUUACGUUAUGCUCGUAAGUUUCGCCUAAGGAUGAGGCCGCGACCGAUCAGGUUGUUGGUGAGGUAAUGGCUCACCAAGCCUUUUACCGGUGCGGGCCGUGAGAGCGGGAGCCCGGAGAUGGGCACUGAGACAAGGGCCCAGGCCCUACGGGGCGCAGCAGUCGCGAAAACUUUGCAAUACACGAAAGUGUGACAGGGCUAUCCCGAGUGCCAUCCGCUGAGGAAGGCUUUUACCCAGUCUAGAACGUUGGGGGAAUAAGGAGAGGGCAAGUCUGGUGUCGGCCGCCGCGGUAAUACCAGCUCUCCGAGUGGUGUGGAUGUUUAUUGGGCCCAAAGCAUCCGUAGCUGGCUAAGUAAGUCCUUUGUUAAAUCCACCGAAUUAAUCGUUGGAUCGCGGGGGAUACUGCUUGGCUAGGGGACGAGAGAGGCAGACGGUAUUUUUGGGGUAGGGGUGAAAUCCUAUAAUCCCAGGAAGACCACCAGUGGCGAAGGCUGUCUGCUAGAACGCGCCCGACGGUGAGGGAUGAAAGCUGGGGGAGCGAACCGGAUUAGAUACCCGGGUAGUCCCAGCUGUAAACGAUGCAGGCUAGGUGUUUGGACGGCCACGUGCCGUUCUAGUGCCGCAGGGAAGCUGUUAAGCCUGCCGCGUGGGGAGUACGAUCGCAA